UACGAAGGGUGCAAACGUUGCUCGGAAUUAUUGGGCGUAAAGCGUACGCAGGCGGCUCGGCAAGUCGAGUGUGAAAUCCCGGGGCUCAACUCCGGAACUGCAUUCGAUACUGCCGGGCUUGAGUGCGGGAGAGGGAAGCGGAAUUCCUGGUGUAGAGGUGGAAUUCGUAGAUAUCAGGAGGAACACCGGUGGCGAAAGCGGCUUCCUGGCCCGACACUGACGCUCAUGUACGAAAGCGUGGGGAGCAAACAGG
Molecule: ribosomal RNA, 253 nt
Filed under: uncultured bacterium
Lineage: Bacteria
Description: partial 16S ribosomal RNA
Rfam family: Bacterial small subunit ribosomal RNA
Source: RNAcentral